UUGGACCUAUAUCAAUAAAGUACCCC
RNAcentral lists this ribosomal RNA (26 nucleotides) under Pythium myriotylum. RNAcentral describes it as "partial 28S ribosomal RNA". The record is from RNAcentral. Lineage: Eukaryota; Oomycota; Peronosporomycetes; Pythiales; Pythiaceae.